This 253-nucleotide ribosomal RNA is filed under the name Holothuria scabra. RNAcentral's name for it is "partial small subunit ribosomal RNA". The record is from RNAcentral. Lineage: Eukaryota; Metazoa; Echinodermata; Holothuroidea; Aspidochirotida; Holothuriidae.
CAGAGCAGUACCGUCAACUAAAACUUAAAGAACUUGGCGGUUUUCUAGAUCUCCUUGGAGGAGCUUGUCAUCGAAUUGAUAACCCACAAGACACCUCACCAACUCAAGAUUUAUCAGCUUGUAUACCAUCGUCGUCAGCUCACAUCAAAAGAGAGUAAGCCAAAUGGAAAAUACCCACAACGUCAGAUCAAGGUGCAGCUAAUGAGCUGGGGAUAGAUGAGCUACUUUAUUCACAAAACAGAGGAAGUAACCA